AGAAUCAACGCUGGCGGCGUGCCUCAGACAUGCAAGUCGAACGCGAAAGUUUCCUUCGGGAGACGAGUAGAGUGGCGCACGGGUGAGUAACACGUAGGUAAUCUACCUUCGGAUGGGGAAUAACAGUCGGAAACGGCUGCUAAUACCGCAUAAUGCAGCGGCACCUAAUGGUGACAGUUGUUAAAGCGGGGGAUCGAAAGACCUCGCGUCUGAAGAGGAGCCUGCGGCGGAUUAGCUAGUUGGUAAGGUAAUGGCUUACCAAGGCUACGAUCC
This 273-nucleotide ribosomal RNA is filed under the name uncultured bacterium. Its description in RNAcentral is "partial small subunit ribosomal RNA". It matches the Rfam family "Bacterial small subunit ribosomal RNA", at positions 26 to 282 of the family's 1533-position model. The record is from RNAcentral.